RNAcentral lists this ribosomal RNA (490 nucleotides) under uncultured bacterium. RNAcentral describes it as "bacterial SSU rRNA". It matches the Rfam family "Bacterial small subunit ribosomal RNA", at positions 28 to 511 of the family's 1533-position model. The record is from RNAcentral.
GAUGAACGCUAGCGGCAGGCCUAAUACAUGCAAGUCGAACGGUAGAUCGGGUAGCAAUACUUGAUUGAGAGUGACGUAAGGGUGCGUAACACGUAUGCAAUCUACCCUCAACAGGAGUAUAGCUCGGGGAAACUCGGAUUAACACUCCAUAACAUUACGAUGUGGCAUCACAUUGUGAUUAAAACUCCGGUGGUUGAGGAUGAGCAUGCGUCUGAUUAGUUAGUUGGAGGUGUAACGGACCCCCAAGACGAUGAUCAGUAGGGGAACGUGAGAGGUUGAUCCCCCACACUGGCACUGAGAUACGGGCCAGACUCCUACGGGAGGCAGCAGUAGGGAAUAUUGGUCAAUGGGUGAGAGCCUGAUCCAGCCAUGCCGCGUGCAGGAAGACGGCCCUAUGGGUUGUAAACUGCUUUUUGUACGGGAAGAAACACCCCCUCGUGAGGGGGCUUGACGGUACCGUAAGAAUAAGGAUCGGCUAACUCCGUGCCAG